GACGAACGCUGGCGGCGUGCUUAACACAUGCAAGUCGAACGGAAAGGCCCUGCUUUUGUGGGGUGCUCGAGUGGCGAACGGGUGAGUAACACGUGAGUAACCUGCCCUUGACUUUGGGAUAACUUCAGGAAACUGGGGCUAAUACCGGAUAGGAGCUCCUGCUGCAUGGUGGGGGUUGGAAAGUUUCGGCGGUUGGGGAUGGACUCGCGGCUUAUCAGCUUGUUGGUGGGUUAGUGGCUUACCAAGGCUUUGACGGGUAGCCGGCCUGAGAGGGUGACCGGCGACAUUGGGCCUGGGAUACGGCACAGACUCCAAUGGGAGGCAGCAGUGGGGAAUAUUGCACAAUGGGCGGAAGCCUGAUGCAGCAACGCAGCGUGCGGGAUGACGGCCUUCGGGUUGUAAACCGCUUUCGCCUGUGACGAAGCGUGAGUGACGGUAAUGGGUAAAGAAGCACCGGCUAACUACGUG
Molecule: ribosomal RNA, 468 nt
Filed under: uncultured bacterium
Lineage: Bacteria
Description: partial 16S ribosomal RNA
Rfam family: Bacterial small subunit ribosomal RNA
Source: RNAcentral